GACGAACGCUGGCGGCGUGCCUAACACAUGCAAGUCGAACGGAAAGUCCCUGCCUUUGUGGGGUGCUCGAGUGGCGAACGGGUGAGUAACACGUGAGUAACCUGUCCCUGACUGUGGGAUAACUUCAUGAAACUGGGGCUAAUACCGGCUAGGAGCUCCCGCUGCUUGGUGGGGGCUGGUAAGUUUCGGCGGUUGGGGAUGGACUCGCGGCCUAUCAGCUUGUUGGUGGGGUAGUGGCUUACCAAGGCUUUGACAGGUAGCCGACCUGAGAGGAUAACCGGCCACGUUAGAACUGGAAUACGGCCCAGACUCCUACGGGAGGCAGCGGUGGGGAAGAUUGCACAGUGGGCGGAAGCCUGGUGCGACAACGCAGCGUGCGGGAUGAGGGGAAUCGGGUUGUAUACCACUGUCGCCUGAGACGAGGCGAGAGUGACGGUAACGGGUGAAGAAGCACCGGCUAACUACGUG
This 468-nucleotide ribosomal RNA is filed under the name uncultured bacterium. Its description in RNAcentral is "partial 16S ribosomal RNA". It matches the Rfam family "Bacterial small subunit ribosomal RNA", at positions 28 to 507 of the family's 1533-position model. The record is from RNAcentral.